CACGUAGGGCGCAAGCGUUGUCCGGAAUUAUUGGGCGUAAAGGGCUCGUAGGCGGUUUGUCGCGUCGGGAGUGAAAACUCAGGGCUCAACCCUGAGCGUGCUUCCGAUACGGGCAGACUAGAGGUAUGCAGGGGAGAACGGAAUUCCUGGUGUAGCGGUGGAAUGCGCAGAUAUCAGGAAGAACACCAGCGGCGAAGGCGGCACUCUGGGCCGGUACUGACGCUGGAGGAGCGAAAGCGGUGGGUAGCAAACAGG
RNAcentral lists this ribosomal RNA (255 nucleotides) under uncultured bacterium. RNAcentral's name for it is "partial 16S ribosomal RNA". It matches the Rfam family "Bacterial small subunit ribosomal RNA", at positions 524 to 776 of the family's 1533-position model. The record is from RNAcentral.